Molecule: transfer RNA, 74 nt
Filed under: Ricinus communis (castor bean)
Lineage: Eukaryota; Viridiplantae; Streptophyta; Magnoliopsida; Malpighiales; Euphorbiaceae
Rfam family: tRNA
About the family: Transfer RNA (tRNA) molecules are approximately 80 nucleotides in length. Their secondary structure includes four short double-helical elements and three loops (D, anti-codon, and T loops). Further hydrogen bonds mediate the characteristic L-shaped molecular structure. tRNAs have two regions of fundamental functional importance: the anti-codon, which is responsible for specific mRNA codon recognition, and the 3' end, to which the tRNAs corresponding amino acid is attached (by aminoacyl-tRNA synthetases). tRNAs cope with the degeneracy of the genetic code in two manners: having more than one tRNA (with a specific anti-codon) for a particular amino acid; and 'wobble' base-pairing, i.e. permitting non-standard base-pairing at the 3rd anti-codon position.
Source: Rfam by way of RNAcentral
GUCGUUGUAGUAUAGUGGUGAAUAUUCCCGCCUGUCACCCGGGCGACCCGGGUUUUCAAUCCCUCGCGACGACG